Leptidea sinapis is the source of this 1958-nucleotide long non-coding RNA. RefSeq lists it as uncharacterized. The transcript has 3 exons. NCBI's taxonomy places the organism in Eukaryota, Metazoa, Arthropoda, Insecta, Lepidoptera, Pieridae. The record is from RefSeq and is a predicted model, not a curated record.
AAUAGAUAAUAAGACACUGCUUGGCUGACAGAGAGACGUACCAGACGUAAUGCGCCCGUUGCGAGCUUUUAUACUUCUACCCUUCAAAGUACCUAAACACCAUUGUCUCCAGUACAUGCAGUACAUCGAUACUGUUUUCAUGUAUUUAUUGGCUCCGACGUGGAUCUUGAGUGGUGUCAUAGAAUACGCAGAAGUCAUAAAUAGGGUCAAAACAGCGAGGAGCGACUUGCGUAGAUGGCACCCAGCUUACGGUCAGCGCGCCUUGGUCAGGGGUAUAAUGUCAUUGUACAAAACACUUACUGCUCCAAGAUUUGUGCCGAUAAAGUGUACGAACAAUUUACGUAUAAUAUGUAUCUGCUAGAUAUUGAUGGUAGACGGGCUCGUCUAUAUCCGUAUUAGUUCUUAUAUUUUAAAGUACUUACAUAUACUAUUAUGAAUGAGCUAAGAAAAACUGUUUUGAUAAGGUCUAUCUUAGGUCGGGUGCGCAUCUGUGGCCUGUCUUGUUCUGUGUUGCAGCACCUACAAUAGACUUUGAUUAUUGUUUAUUAAUCAUGUAUUACACUUUACUUUGAGCAAGUUACAGAUUUUACAGACUUAUUAUUGUGUGUUAAUUUUGAAUAUAAAUGUUAUAGGUGCUGGAGCAAUGGGGAGAUUUGAUAAAAAAAAUUAAUGAACAAGUUACGAAUGUUAUAGGCUCAGGCAUAGGAGUAAAGAAGAAGAAAGAAGAUGCUCCAAGUUUUUACUAUAAUUUACGAUAACUUUGUAUUAGUGGUGAAAAGACUGCAGUUUUUACUACAUAGAUGUAAAAUUAAUAUUUAUUAAUUUUGAAAUUAAAUGUUUACAGGUUUAGGAGUGAUGAAGAAGCUGAGGAGUUUUCGAUGAACAAGUUAUAUUUAUCACUCACUACAGUUUUUACUAAGAUUGUUAUAGGUACAAAAGCAGUGGAAAAUUUUUGUGGCAGAUUUAUUAUAAACUAGUAAUAAGUGUAAUAGGUACAAAAAUGGUGAAGUGUGGUGGUCCAAAACUAUGAAGAUUGUAGAAUUUUUCUUAACAAGUAAUUAAGGUACAAAAGUGAUGAAGAUACAGCAUAUUGUACUAUGAAAAAGUUAAGAAUACUUUAGGUAUACAAGAAGGUGAAGAGACUGUUGAUUUAAUAUAAACUAGUUGUAGUUAUGAAUAUAACAGAUACAAGGUGAAAGAGAACGCAGAUUUUACUAUGAACAAUUUAUGAAUGUACUGUUAUAGGUACAAGAGUGGCGAAGAAUUUUUAUUAUUUUCAAGAUAAGAAUUUAAUAGGUUAAAGGUGCAUAAGAGGUGAAGAGACUGUAGAUUUAACUAUGAACUAGUUGUAGUUAUGAAUAUAACAGACACAAGGUGAAGAGAAUGCAGAAUUUACUAUGAACAAUUUAUGAAUGUACUAUUAUAGGUACAAGAGUGGUGAAGUAUUUUUAUUAUUAUCAAGACUUAAUAGGUUAAAGGUGCAUAAGAGGUGAAGAGACUGUAGAUUGAACUAUAAAAUGGUUGUAGUUAUGAAUAUAACAGAUACAGGGUGAAGAGAACGCAGAUUUUACUAUGAACAAUUUAUCAUUGUAUUGUCAUAGUUACAAGAGUAGCGAGGAUUUUUUUUAUUAUUCACAAGAUAAGAAUUUAAUAGGUUAAAGGUGCAUAAGAGGUGAAGAGACUGCAGAUUUAACUAUGAACUAGCUGUAGUUAUGAAUAUAACAGAUACAAGGUGAAGAGAAUGCAGAUUUUACUAUGAACAAUUUAUUACUGUUAUUGGUAGAAGAGUGGUGAAGAAGUAUUUUUAUUAUUUUCAAGAUAAUAAUUUAAUAGGUUAAAGGUGCAUAAGAGGUGAAGAGACCGUAGAUUUAACUAUGAACUAGUUGUAGUUAUGAAUAUAACAGAUACAAGGUGAAGAGAACGCAGAUUUUGCUAUGAACAAUUUAUGAAUGUACUUU